This 301-nucleotide ribosomal RNA is filed under the name uncultured bacterium. RNAcentral describes it as "partial 16S ribosomal RNA". It matches the Rfam family "Bacterial small subunit ribosomal RNA", at positions 509 to 807 of the family's 1533-position model. The record is from RNAcentral.
CAGCAGCCGCGGGAAUACGGAGGGAGCUAGCGUUGUUCGGAAUCACUGGGCGUAAAGCGCACGUAGGCGGCUAUUCAAGUCAGGGGUGAAAGCCCGGGGCUCAACCCCGGAACUGCCUUUGAAACUAGAUAGCUUGAAUCUUGGAGAGGCGAGUGGAAUUCCGAGUGUAGAGGUGAAAUUCGUAGAUAUUCGGAAGAACACCAGUGGCGAAGGCGACUCGCUGGACAAGUAUUGACGCUGAGGUGCGAAAGCGUGGGGAGCAAACAGGAUUAGAUACCCCGGUAGUCCCUGUCUCUUAUAC